GUCGAGAAUAAUUCACAAUGGACGAAAGUCUGAUGGUGCAACGCCGCGUGGAGGAUGAAGGUCUUCGGAUUGUAAACUCCUGUCAUCGGGGAGUAAGACCUGGCGGUAAAUAGCCGACAGGGUUGAUAGUACCCGAAGAGGAAGGGACGGCUAACUUCGUGCCAGCAGCCGCGGUAAUACGAAGGUCCCAAGCGUUGUUCGGAAUCACUGGGCGUAAAGGGAGCGUAGGCGGCGUGGUAAGUCAGAUGUGAAAUCCCGGGGCUCAACCCCGGAACUGCAUCCGAUACUGCCAUGCUUGAGGGUUGGAGAGGUAGCUGGAAUUCUCGGUGUAGCAGUGAAAUGCGUGGAUAUCGAGAGGAACACUCGUGGCGAAGGCGAGCUACUGGACAACAUCUGACGCUGAGGCUCGAAGGCCAGGGGAGCAAAAGGGAUUAGAAACCCGAGUAGUCC
This 450-nucleotide ribosomal RNA is filed under the name uncultured bacterium. RNAcentral's name for it is "partial 16S ribosomal RNA". It matches the Rfam family "Bacterial small subunit ribosomal RNA", at positions 354 to 796 of the family's 1533-position model. The record is from RNAcentral.